This 563-nucleotide ribosomal RNA is filed under the name uncultured soil bacterium. RNAcentral's name for it is "bacterial SSU rRNA". It matches the Rfam family "Bacterial small subunit ribosomal RNA", at positions 822 to 1367 of the family's 1533-position model. The record is from RNAcentral.
AGUGGGCUCGACCUGGGCGCACUGCCGCAGCGAAAGUCAUUAGUGCCCCGCCUGGGGAGUAUGGUCGCAAGGCUGAAACUCAAAGGAAUUGACGGGGGCUCACACAAGCGGUGGAGCAUGUGGCUUAAUUCGAGGCUACGCGAAGAACCUUACCCAGGCUUGACAUGUGCGAAAGCGCCUGGUGUACCCUGCGGAAACGCAGGGGAACCCCGCAAGGGGGGACCAGGUACAGGUGCUGCAUGGCUGUCGUCAGCUCGUGUCGUGAGACGUCGGGUUAAGUCCCAUAACGAGCGAAACCCUUGCCCUUAGUUGCCACUUUAACCGGGGCACUCUAGGGGGACUGCCGGUGUCAAACCGGAGGAAGGCGGGGACNACGUCAAGUCCUCAUGGCCCUUACGCCUGGGGCUUGCACACGUGCUACAAUGCGGCCGACAAAGGGACGCCAACUGGCAACAGUUGCGCCAAUCCCAAAAAAGUCGCUCAGUUCAAAUCCGUGGGCUUGCAACCCCCCCACGUUGAAGCUGGAAUCCCUAGUAAUCCCCGAUCAACGACCCGCGGUGAAU